This 460-nucleotide ribosomal RNA is filed under the name uncultured bacterium. RNAcentral's name for it is "partial 16S ribosomal RNA". It matches the Rfam family "Bacterial small subunit ribosomal RNA", at positions 338 to 795 of the family's 1533-position model. The record is from RNAcentral.
CCUACGGGGCGCAUCAUUGCGGCAUCUUGGUCAAUGGACGCAAGUCUGAACCAGCCAUGCCGCGUGCAGGAUGACGGCUCUAUGAGUUGUAAACUGCUUUUGUACGAGGGUAAUAUCAGAUACGUGUAUCUGCUUGAAAGUAGCGUACGAAUAAGGAUCGGCUAAAUCCGUGCCAGCAGCCGCGGUAAUACGGAGGAUCCAAGCGUUAUCCGGAUUUAUUGGGUUUAAAGGGUGCGUAGGCGGUUUUAUAAGUUAGAGGUGAAAAUUCGGGGCUCAACUCCGGACGUGUCUCUGAUACUGUAUGACUAGAGAAUAGAUGCGGUAGGCGGAAUGUAUGGUGUAGCGGUGAAAUGCGUAGAGAUCAGACAGAACACCGAUUGCGAAGGCAGCUUACCAAACUAUAUCUGACGUUGAGGCACGAAAGCGUGGGGAGCAAACAGGAUUAGAUACCCUUGUAGUC